Molecule: long non-coding RNA, 794 nt
Filed under: Phasianus colchicus (ring-necked pheasant)
Lineage: Eukaryota; Metazoa; Chordata; Aves; Galliformes; Phasianidae
Description: lncRNA (ENSPCLG00000020223.1)
Source: RNAcentral
GGGGUUAUGAGGUGGGUAAUGGGAUUUUGGGGUCAGGGUGGGGGUUGUAGGGUUGUGGGCUGCGUAACGGGGUGAGGGUGGGGAUUAUGGAGUUAUGGGGUGGAUAAUGGGAUUAUGGGGUCUUUUCUCCCCUCUCCCCCUUUCCCUUUAGGGCACCUUCACCCCUGCCAGCGACGCGUGGGCUUUUGGGGUGACGCUGUGGGAGGUGCUGACCCGGUGCAGGGAGCAGCCCUACGGGGAGCUGAGCGAUGAGCAGGUGAUCGCCAACGCGGGCCGGCACUGCCGAGGCCACGGGGAGGUGAGAACUGGGACAAACUGGGAUCAACUGGGAGGGGUUGGGGUCGUAUUGGGGCCGUACUGGGAGAAUUGGGGUUGUAUUGGGGCCGUAUUGGGAGUAAUGGGGCCAUACUGGGGUCGUAUUGGGGCCAUACUGGGAGCACUGGGGCCAUACUGGGGCCAUACUGGGAGAACUGGGGCCAUACUGGGGCCAUACUGGGGCCAUACUGGGAGCACUGGGGCUGUACUGGGGCCAUACUGGGAGCACUGGGGCUGUAUUGGGGCUGUACUGGGAGCACUGGGGCUGUACUGGGGCCGUACUGGGAGCACUGGGGCUGUAUUGGGGCUGUAUUAGGAGCAGUGGGCCAUACUGGGGUCAUAUUAGGGCCAUACUGGGAGCACUGGGGCCAUACUGGGAGCACUGGGGGCAUAUUGGGGCCAUACUGGGAGCACUGGGGCCAUACUGGGAGGGACUGGGUUGGAAAAUGGGGGGGUACCAGGAGGGACUGGGAGCACUG